UCUUAUGUACUUACCUACAAUGUUAAUGCAUUGGAUUCCAUCACAACUCUAUAGUUAAGUGCACUUGGGCUAGAGUAGUACUGGGAUGGGUGACCUCCCAAGAAGUCCUAGUGCAACACAUAUGCU
This is a non-coding RNA of Picea glauca (white spruce), 126 nucleotides long. The record is from Rfam. NCBI's taxonomy places the organism in Eukaryota, Viridiplantae, Streptophyta, Pinopsida, Pinales, Pinaceae.